This 620-nucleotide ribosomal RNA is filed under the name Hackmania saphes. Its description in RNAcentral is "partial 28S ribosomal RNA". The stretch from base 364 to 620 matches the Rfam family "Eukaryotic large subunit ribosomal RNA", at positions 665 to 893 of the family's 3401-position model. Lineage: Eukaryota; Metazoa; Arthropoda; Arachnida; Araneae; Dictynidae. The record is from RNAcentral.
UUUGACUCUCGCCCGAAGGACGCCGCAGCCGGUUGGGUAGUGCAAGCGCGGCGGUCAGAAAGGGGGAAGAUGGCAGGUGGCCGGUGGCCCGCCCCGUGCGGGCCCGCCGGUUGUUAGCCGUUCCCUCGGUGGCCGCCACCCGACCGUGGUGUCGCCAGGCCCUUCGCGGGCCGAUUUCCGUCUCCUCCCCACAGCGGGAUGCCGGGACCGAGCGGCGCGGGCGGGUCACGCCGGCCGUCGCACCCCCAGAGGGGUGGACGGUCCGAGCGGGGAACCCUCCGAUGCAGCGUCGCCGGACCCGUGGGAGGCCGGAGGCUUGCGGCGAGUAGGUCGGUCACCCACCCGACCCGUCUUGAAACACGGACCAAGGAGUCUAACAUGUGCGCGAGUCAGUGGGUCUUGAUCAGGCCCACGGGCGCAAUGAAAGCAAAGGCGCGGCCCAGGCCCGCCGAGUUGGGAUCCCCCCUUUCCGGGGGGGGCGCACCAACGACCCGUCCUUUCCGGCUCGCCGGUUGGGCGGAGUGUGAGCGUACACGUUGGGACCCGAAAGAUGGUGAACUAUGCCCGAACAGGACGAAGCCAGAGGAAACUCUGGUGGAGGUCCGCAGCGGUCUGACGUG